RNAcentral lists this ribosomal RNA (578 nucleotides) under uncultured bacterium. RNAcentral's name for it is "bacterial SSU rRNA". It matches the Rfam family "Archaeal small subunit ribosomal RNA", at positions 102 to 685 of the family's 1478-position model. The record is from RNAcentral.
GGACAACCUACCCUGAAGUGAGGGAUAAUCCCGGGAAACUGGGGAUAAUACCUCAUAGACUAUGAAUGCUGGAAUGCUUUGUAGUUCAAAGGUCCGCCGCUUCAGGAUGGGUCUGCGGCCGAUUAGGUUGUUGUUGGGGUAACGGCCCAACAAGCCUGUAAUCGGUACGGGUUGUGGGAGCAAGAGCCCGGAGAUGGAUUCUGAGACACGAAUCCAGGCCCUACGGGGCGCAGCAGGCGCGAAAACUUUGCAAUGCGAGCAAUCGUGACAAGGGAACUCCGAGUGCCUGUAAAAUCAGGCUGUCCGCCAGUUUAAAUAACUGGCGAAGAAAGGGCCGGGCAAGACCGGUGCCAGCCGCCGCGGUAAUACCGGCGGCUCGAGUGGUGGCCACUAUUACUGGGCUUAAAGCGUUCGUAGCUGGCUUGUUAAGUCUCUGGGGAAAUCUUCCGGCUCAACCGGAAGGCGUCUCAGGGAUACUGGCAGGCUAGGGACCGGAAGAGGUGAGAGGUACUCCAGGGGUAGGAGUGAAAUCCUGUAAUCCUUGGGGGACCACCUGUGGCGAAGGCGUCUCACCAGGA